GAUGAACGCUAGCUACAGGCUUAACACAUGCAAGUCGAGGGGAAACGACAUCGAAAGCUUGCUUUUGAUGGGCGUCGACCGGCGCACGGGUGAGUAACGCGUAUCCAACCUGCCCAUCACUUGGGAAUAACCUUGCGAAAGUAAGACUAAUACCCAAUGAUAUCCCACGAAGGCAUCGGAAUGGGAUUAAAGAUUUAUCGGUGAUGGAUGGGGAUGCGUCUGAUUAGCUUGUUGGCGGGGUAACGGCCCACCAAGGCAACGAUCAGUAGGGGUUCUGAGAGGAAGGUCCCCCACAUUGGAACUGAGACACGUUCCAAACUCCUACGGGAGGCAGCAGUGAGGAAUAUUGGUCAAUGGGCGAGAGCCUGAACCAGCCAAGUAGCGUGCAGGAAGACGGCCCUAUGGGUUGUACACUGCUUUUAUAAGGGAAUAAAGUGGGUCACGUGUGACUUUUUGCAUGUACCUUAUGAAUAAGGACCGGCUAAUUCCGUG
Molecule: ribosomal RNA, 492 nt
Filed under: uncultured bacterium
Lineage: Bacteria
Description: partial 16S ribosomal RNA
Rfam family: Bacterial small subunit ribosomal RNA
Source: RNAcentral